This 396-nucleotide ribosomal RNA is filed under the name uncultured bacterium. RNAcentral's name for it is "bacterial SSU rRNA". It matches the Rfam family "Bacterial small subunit ribosomal RNA", at positions 997 to 1393 of the family's 1533-position model. The record is from RNAcentral.
CUUUUAGAGAUAGAAGUGUUCUCUUCGGAGACAAAGUGACAGGUGGUGCAUGGUCGUCGUCAGCUCGUGUCGUGAGAUGUUGGGUUAAGUCCCGCAACGAGCGCAACCCUUAUUGUUAGUUGCCAGCAUUCAGUUGGGCACUCUAGCGAGACUGCCGGUGACAAACCGGAGGAAGGCGGGGACGACGUCAGAUCAUCAUGCCCCUUAUGACCUGGGCUACACACGUGCUACAAUGGCGUAUACAACGAGUUGCCAACCUGCGAGGGUGAGCUAAUCUCUUAAAGUACGUCUCAGUUCGGACUGCAGUCUGCAACUCGACUGCACGAAGUCGGAAUCUCUAGUAAUCGCGGAUCAGCACGCCGCGGUGAAUACGUUCCCGGGUCUUGUACACACCGA